RNAcentral lists this long non-coding RNA (333 nucleotides) under Marmota monax (woodchuck). Lineage: Eukaryota; Metazoa; Chordata; Mammalia; Rodentia; Sciuridae. The record is from RNAcentral.
GUCUUACUGUGUUGUCCAGGCUGACUUGAACCCCUGGGCUCAAGGGAUCCUCCUGCCUCCAGAGUUGCUUUACCUUGAAUCAAUAACAACGGUUUAUGUGAAAACAAGUUAUUAAGCAUUAUAGUAUAUUUAAAGGAUAUUAGGAGUGAGAAUGAGGAGGAUGAGGAGACCAGGGGAGGAGAGAGCAGGCGUCACCUGCUGGUGUUGUCCCUUUGUGAAGACACAUGAUUUCGGAGUCCCUACUUUCCACAUCUGUAACACAAGCAGCGAGGUUGUGUUGUCUUCACUUCCCACAAAAUUCUACCCAGAAGCCCAGAUAACGCAACAGAGAGC